UCUACGGGAGGCAGCAGUGAGGAAUAUUGGUCAAUGGCCGAGAGGCUGAACCAGCCAAGUCGCGUGAGGGAAGACGGCCCUACGGGUUGUAAACCUCUUUUGUCGGGGAGUAAAGCGAACCACGUGUGGUUCAUUGAGAGUACCCGAUGAAAAAGCAUCGGCUAACUCCUUGCCAGCAGCCGCGGUAAUACGGAGGAUGCGAGCGUUAUCCGGUUUUAUUGGGUUUAAAGGGUUCGCGGGAGGUGGUUCAAGUCAGCGGUGAAAUUGUGGGGGUCAACCCAGUACUGUCGUUGAAACUGGAUGCCUUGAGUGCGCGGGAGGUAUGCGGAAUGCGUGGUGUAGCGGUGAAAUGCAUAGAUAUCACGCAGAACUCCGAUUGCGAAGGCAGCAUA
This 392-nucleotide ribosomal RNA is filed under the name uncultured bacterium. Its description in RNAcentral is "partial 16S ribosomal RNA". It matches the Rfam family "Bacterial small subunit ribosomal RNA", at positions 338 to 728 of the family's 1533-position model. The record is from RNAcentral.